GGAGAGGUGGAUGAGCGGUUUAAGUCACACGCCUGGAAAGCGUGCGGGGGCUAAUAACCCCCCUCGGGUUCGAAUCCCGAUCUCUCCGCCA
RNAcentral lists this transfer RNA (91 nucleotides) under Burkholderiaceae bacterium. RNAcentral describes it as "tRNA-Ser". It matches the Rfam family "tRNA". From Rfam's summary of the family: Transfer RNA (tRNA) molecules are approximately 80 nucleotides in length. The record is from RNAcentral. Lineage: Bacteria; Pseudomonadati; Pseudomonadota; Betaproteobacteria; Burkholderiales; Burkholderiaceae.